GACGAACGCUGGCGGCGUGCUUAACACAUGCAAGUCGAACGGAAAGGCCCUGCUUUUGUGGGGUGCUCGAGUGGCGAACGGGUGAGUAACACGUGAGUAACCUGCCCUUGACUUUGGGAUAACUUCAGGAAACUGGGGCUAAUACCGGAUAGGAGCUCCUGCUGCAUGGUGGGGGUUGGAAAGUUUCGGCGGCUGGGGAUGGACUCGCGGCUUAUCAGCUUGUUGGUGGGGUAGUGGCUUACCAAGGCUUUGACGGGUAGCCGGCCUGAGAGGGUGACCGGCCACAUUGGGACUGAGAUACGGCCCAGACUCCUACGGGAGGCAGCAGUGGGGAAUAUUGCACAAUGGGCGGAAGCCUGAUGCAGCAACGCCGCGUGCGGGAUGACGGCCUUCGGGUUGUAAACCGCUUUCGCCUGUGACGAAGCGUGAGUGACGGUAAUGGGUAAAGAAGCACCGGCUAACUACGUGCCAGCAGCCGCGGUGAUACGUAGGGUGCGAGCGUUGUCCGGAUUUAUUGGGCGUAAAGGGCUCGUAGGUGGUUGAUCGCGUCGGAAGUGUAAUCUUGGGGCUUAACCCUGAGCGUGCUUUCGAUACGGGUUGACUUGAGGAAGGUAGGGGAGAAUGGAAUUCCUGGUGGAGCGGUGGAAUGCGCAGAUAUCAGGAGGAACACCAGUGGCGAAGGCGGUUCUCUGGGCCUUUCCUGACGCUGAGGAGCGAAAGCGUGGGGAGCGAACAGGCUUAGAUACCCUGGUAGUCCACGCUGUAAACGGUGGGUACUAGGUGUGGGGUCCAUUCCACGGGUUCCGUGCCGUAGCUAACGCUUUAAGUACCCCGCCUGGGGAGUACGGCCGCAAGGCUAAAACUCAAAGGAAUUGACGGGGCCCCGCACAAGCGGCGGAGCAUGCGGAUUAAUUCGAUGCAACGCGUAGAACCUUACCUGGGUUUGACAUGGAUCGGGAGCGCUCAGAGAUGGGUGUGCCUCUUUUGGGGUCGGUUCACAGGUGGUGCAUGGCUGUCGUCAGCUCGUGUCGUGAGAUGUUGGGUUAAGUCCCGCAACGAGCGCAACCCUUGUUCACUGUUGCCAGCACGUUAUGGUGGGGACUCAGUGGAGACCGCCGGGGUCAACUCGGAGGAAGGUGGGGAUGGCGUCAAGUCAUCAUGCCCCUUAUGUCCAGGGCUUCACGCAUGCUACAAUGGCUGGUACAGAGAGUGGCGAGCCUGUGAGGGUGAGCGAAUCUCGGAAAGCCGGUCUCAGUUCGGAUUGGGGUCUGCAACUCGACCUCAUGAAGUCGGAGUCGCUAGUAAUCGCAGAUCAGCAACGCUGCGGUGAAUACGUUCCCGGG
This 1343-nucleotide ribosomal RNA is filed under the name uncultured bacterium. RNAcentral's name for it is "16S ribosomal RNA". It matches the Rfam family "Bacterial small subunit ribosomal RNA", at positions 28 to 1378 of the family's 1533-position model. The record is from RNAcentral.